RNAcentral lists this ribosomal RNA (292 nucleotides) under uncultured bacterium. RNAcentral's name for it is "partial 16S ribosomal RNA". It matches the Rfam family "Bacterial small subunit ribosomal RNA", at positions 505 to 796 of the family's 1533-position model. The record is from RNAcentral.
GUGCCAGCAGCCGCGGUAAUACGAGAGGCCCAAACGUUAUUCGGAAUUACUGGGCUUAAAGAGUUCGUAGGCGGCAUUGCAAGUAGGGUGUGAAAGCCCUCGGCUCAACCGAGGAAUUGCGCUCUAAACUGCAGUGCUUGAGGAACCUAGAGGUGAGCAGAACAGAUGGUGGAGCGGUGAAAUGCGUUGAUAUCAUCUGGAAUACCGGAGGCGAAGGCGGCUCACUGGGAGUUUUCUGACGCUGAGGAACGAAAGCCAGGGUAGCGAACGGGAUUAGAUACCCCAGUAGUCC